Molecule: long non-coding RNA, 402 nt
Organism: Phyllostomus discolor (pale spear-nosed bat)
Lineage: Eukaryota; Metazoa; Chordata; Mammalia; Chiroptera; Phyllostomidae
Exons: 3
Source: RefSeq, a predicted model, not a curated record
AGGUUUUAACCUUUAAAAUUAAGAAAAUGAUGUCCUUAUUUCUAGCAAGUGGCAUUGAUGAUUAUGUGGAAUUUGAAGAGCUCCCAGCUGGAGAGUAAGAGGAGCCCAACGCCUCCAGAGAAGGUGACGAGUUCAUCUCAAAGCUUAUGUAAAAUGAAGCCGAUUGUCCAUUGACUGUGAUCUUUGCUCUGUUAGCCACAGCUCUCUAAGAAGAUUCUGAGCUUCUGCAGAAGCCUACUAUUCCAUCAUAGGAGUUUGAGUAAUUGGAAAACACUAGUGAACCACAGAAUAUACGCAGCUGAGGAUGCACACAGUGACGAGAAUGGUCCACAGACAGAGGGUGCACCUUUCCUAACCACAUCCCAUUGAACACAGGAUCAAUAAAUGCAUAUUUGAAAUGAA